RNAcentral lists this non-coding RNA (22 nucleotides) under Arabidopsis thaliana (thale cress). The record is from RNAcentral. Lineage: Eukaryota; Viridiplantae; Streptophyta; Magnoliopsida; Brassicales; Brassicaceae.
GGAUGAUUUAGAAGGUUAGCCA